RNAcentral lists this transfer RNA (75 nucleotides) under Merluccius polli (Benguela hake). Its description in RNAcentral is "tRNA-Val". It matches the Rfam family "tRNA". Rfam says of the family: Transfer RNA (tRNA) molecules are approximately 80 nucleotides in length. Their secondary structure includes four short double-helical elements and three loops (D, anti-codon, and T loops). The record is from RNAcentral. Lineage: Eukaryota; Metazoa; Chordata; Actinopteri; Gadiformes; Merlucciidae.
GGUCCUAACUGGCUCAACUGGUAGAGCAUGGCAUUAACAUUGCCAGGGUUAGGGAUUCGAUUCCCACUGGGACCA